GCACUAAAAGGAUGAUAAUUCUUUCGUUAUUUAUUUAUUAUGAAUAUACUUUUAAGUCCGUCUUUUAGUAAAUUUUAAGUCUAAUAGCCGAAAAAAGUUGUUAUUGUAACUCGCCUCAUUUUCUCACUUAUUGGCUGCACUUUGAUUUGUAUUAGUCCUUUCGUGGAAAUAGAAUUUACCUCGGGUAAAUCCUAGACAACGGUAUACAAGCUAUUAAAAGUAAGUAGCGAUUACUUGGUGGUUAUCAAUUACAUGGUAAGUUCCCCUAAAAUACUUCUUUUAGCCGCCAUAAUAUUUAAGUUUGGACCAUCUUAAUAGUAGUAAUCCUUGUUUAAUUAGUUUAAUUUCAAUAUAACUGGGUAUCUAAUCCAGGUUUAUGUUUUGAAUUUAGCACUUAUUUUAAUAUAUAUCAAAUUUAUAAAUUACUAGUAUUUUACAACAUAGUAAUUUUUUAUGCAUAGCAAACAAAACAAUAACUAUAAAUUCAUCUAUUAAGUAUGACCGCGGUUGCUGGCACCUAAUACACCUAGAUUAAACAAAUAACUAAAUUUAAAUUUCUUUAAUUUAUUAAAACUUUUAACUGAGAGGUUUAUCUAUAGCUCAUAUUAAAUUAGACUGUACACUUAUAGUACCAUCAUAUUAAAGUGGUAUAUUCUAAAGGGGAAUUUUAUACCAUUUUAGA
Molecule: ribosomal RNA, 682 nt
Filed under: Montenegrina perstriata subcristatula
Lineage: Eukaryota; Metazoa; Mollusca; Gastropoda; Stylommatophora; Clausiliidae
Description: partial 12S ribosomal RNA
Source: RNAcentral